GAACGCACAUUGCGCCCGCUAGUAUUCUGGCGGGCAUGCCUGUCCGAGCGUCAUUUCAACCAUCAAGCCCUAGGCUUGUGUUGGGGUUCUGCGGCUGUCCGCAGGCCCUGAAAAUCAGUGGCGGGCUCGUUGUCAAACCGAGUGCAGUAGUAAUAUUCUCUCUGGUCUUACAGCUUGUUCUUGCCGUAAAACAAUCCAAUUUCUAAGGUUGACCUCGGAUCAGGUAGGAAUACCCGCUGAACUUA
This 245-nucleotide unclassified non-coding RNA is filed under the name Lasiosphaeria hispida. Its description in RNAcentral is "sequence contains 5.8S rRNA gene". The stretch from base 1 to 53 matches the Rfam family "5.8S ribosomal RNA", at positions 102 to 154 of the family's 154-position model. The record is from RNAcentral. Lineage: Eukaryota; Fungi; Ascomycota; Sordariomycetes; Sordariales; Lasiosphaeriaceae.